UACGAAGGGGGCUAGCGUUUUUCGGAAUUACUGGGCGUAAAGCGCACGUAGGCGGAUUUGUAAGUCAGGGGUGAAAUCCCGGGGCUCAACCUCGGAACUGCCUUUGAUACUGCAAGUCUCGAGUCCGGAAGAGGUGAGUGGAAUUCCUAGUGUAGAGGUGAAAUUCGUAGAUAUUAGGAAGAACACCAGUGGCGAAGGCGGCUCACUGGUCCGGUACUGACGCUGAGGUGCGAAAGCGUGGGGAGCAAACAGG
RNAcentral lists this ribosomal RNA (253 nucleotides) under uncultured bacterium. Its description in RNAcentral is "partial 16S ribosomal RNA". It matches the Rfam family "Bacterial small subunit ribosomal RNA", at positions 524 to 776 of the family's 1533-position model. The record is from RNAcentral.